UGAUCCUGGCUCAGAACGAACGCUGGCGGCAGGCCUAAUACAUGCAAGUCGAGCGCACCUUCGGGUGAGCGGCGGACGGGUUAGUAACGCGUGGGAAUAUGCCCAAAGGUACGGAAUAGCCUCUGGAAACGGAGAGUAAUACCGUAUGUGCCCUUCGGGGGAAAGAUUUAUCGCCUUUGGAUUAGCCCGCGUUGGAUUAGGUAGUUGGUGGGGUAAUGGCCUACCAAGCCUACGAUCCAUAGCUGGUUUGAGAGGAUGAUCAGCAACACUGGGACUGAGACACGGCCCAGACUCCUACGGGAGGCAGCAGUAGGGAAUCUUAGACAAUGGGCGAAAGCCUGAUCUAGCCAUGCCGCGUGAGUGAAGAAGGCCCUAGGGUCGUAAAGCUCUUUCGCCAGGGAUGAUAAUGACAGUACCUGGUAAAGAAACCCCGGCUAACUCCGUGCCAGCAGCCGCGGUAAUACGGAGGGGGCUAGCGUUGUUCGGAAUUACUGGGCGUAAAGCGUACGUAGGCGGAUUAGUCAGUCAGAGGUGAAAUCCCAGGGCUCAACCCUGGAACUGCCUUUGAUACUGCUAGUCUUGAGUUCGAGAGAGGUGAGUGGAAUUCCAAGUGUAGAGGUGAAAUUCGUAGAUAUUUGGAGGAACACCAGUGGCGAAGGCGGCUCACUGGCUCGAUACUGACGCUGAGGUACGAAAGUGUGGGGAGCAAACAGGAUUAGAUACCCUGGUAGUCCACACCGUAAACGAUGAAUGCCAGUCGUCGGGUUGCUUAGCGAUUCGGUGACACACCUAACGGAUUAAGCAUUCCGCCUGGGGAGUACGGUCGCAAGAUUAAAACUCAAAGGAAUUGACGGGGGCCCGCACGAGCGGUGGAGCAUGUGGUUUAAUUCGAUGCAACGCGAAGAACCUUACCUGGUCUUGACAUCCACGGAAGUUUUCAGAGAUGAGAAUGUGCCUUCGGGAACCGUGAGACAGGUGCUGCAUGGCUGUCGUCAGCUCGUGUUGUGAGAUGUUGGGUUAAGUCCCGCAACGAGCGCAACCCUCGUCCUUAGUUGCCAUCAUUCAGUUGGGCACUUUAAGGAAACUGCCGGUGAUAAGCCGGAGGAAGGUGGGGAUGACGUCAAGUCCUCAUGGCCCUUACAGGCUGGGCUACACACGUGCUACAAUGGCAUCUACAGUGAGCAGCGAUCCCGCGAGGGUUAGCUAAUCUCCAAAAGAUGUCUCAGUUCGGAUUGUUCUCUGCAACUCGAGAGCAUGAAGGCGGAAUCGCUAGUAAUCGCGGAUCAGCAUGCCGCGGUGAAUACGUUCCCAGGCCUUGUACACACCGCCCGUCACACCAUGGGAGUUGGAUUCACCCGAAGGCGGUGCGCUAACCUUUAGGAGGCAGCCGACCACGGUGGGUUCAGCGACUGGGGUGAAGUCGUAACAAGGUAACC
This 1436-nucleotide ribosomal RNA is filed under the name uncultured marine bacterium. Its description in RNAcentral is "16S ribosomal RNA". It matches the Rfam family "Bacterial small subunit ribosomal RNA". The record is from RNAcentral.